GCCUUCUUAGCUCAGUUGGUAGAGCGCAUCCAUGGUAAGGAUGAGGUCACCAGUACAAGCCUGCUAGAAGGCUCCA
RNAcentral lists this transfer RNA (76 nucleotides) under Candidatus Saccharimonadota bacterium. RNAcentral describes it as "tRNA-Thr". It matches the Rfam family "tRNA". From Rfam's summary of the family: Transfer RNA (tRNA) molecules are approximately 80 nucleotides in length. Their secondary structure includes four short double-helical elements and three loops (D, anti-codon, and T loops). The record is from RNAcentral. Lineage: Bacteria; Candidatus Saccharimonadota.